AUUGAACGCUGGCGGCAGGCCUAACACAUGCAAGUCGAGCGGAUGAAGGGAGCUUGCUCCUGGAUUCAGCGGCGGACGGGUGAGUAAUGCCUAGGAAUCUGCCUGGUAGUGGGGGAUAACGUCCGGAAACGGGCGCUAAUACCGCAUACGUCCUGAGGGAGAAAGUGGGGGAGCUUCGGACCUCACGCUAUCAGAUGAGCCUAGGUCGGAUUAGCUAGUUGGUGGGGUAAAGGCCUACCAAGGCGACGAUCCGUAACUGGUCUCAGAGGAUGAUCAGGCACCCUGGAACUGAGACACGGUCCAGACUCCUACGGGAGGCAGCAGUGGGGAAUAUUGGACGAUGGGCGAAAGCCUGAUCCAGCCAUGCCGCGUGUGUGAAGAAGGUCUUCGGAUUGUAGAGCACUUUAAGUUGGGGGGAAGGGCAGUAAGUUAAUCCCUUGCUGUUUUGACGUUACCAACAGAAUAAGCACCGGCUAACUUCGUG
Molecule: ribosomal RNA, 484 nt
Filed under: uncultured bacterium
Lineage: Bacteria
Description: partial 16S ribosomal RNA
Rfam family: Bacterial small subunit ribosomal RNA
Source: RNAcentral